RNAcentral lists this long non-coding RNA (946 nucleotides) under Macaca mulatta (Rhesus monkey). RNAcentral describes it as "lncRNA (ENSMMUG00000062776.1)". Lineage: Eukaryota; Metazoa; Chordata; Mammalia; Primates; Cercopithecidae. The record is from RNAcentral.
AUGCUGGCUCUGGAGGUGCCAGGCAAUGGGAAACUCAGGGAAGGACCGAGCUUCAGAGGACCUGGAAACAGGUUAGCCCGCCGGUGCAGGAAGAGGAGAGAGGCAAGCAACGAAUCUCCUGAGUUUCAGGAACAGAUUGCUCAAAAACCAAACGACUGUUGCGUGAAAUGCGAGUGGGGAAAGGAGUGAGAUGAAGGGAACAGAGCCCUUCCAAACUCGCCCUUCAGCCUUCCCACCCAAUCAGAAAGGAAAUCAGUCAUGCCCACAAUCCUGCCAAUAACACAGUGUAGCGGCUACGUUCUUUGGACGAAUGACAGCGAGCUGUGGAAGAAAUCUGGUUUGGAGAAGAGACGGGGGCUUGUGUUUACUGAACAUCUACAGCAAAUCAGGCCCUGUGCUUUCUUUUGCAUCCGUUCUCUUCUAAAGGGGAAUCAGGAUCCUGGCUGAGGGACCCUGGACUAUUUCACCUUUCAGGAUCUCAGUUUCCUUAGACUAAAAACAUGAAUUCCUAUUUUUUUUUUUUUGCGCUUUUUAAAAAUUAAACUUUAGGUUCUGGGGUGCAUGUGCAAAACGUGCAGGUUUGUUACAUAGGUAUACAAGAGCCAUGGUGGUUUGCUGCACCCAUCAACCCAUCAUCUACACUAGAUAUUUCUACUGAUGCUAUCCCUCCCCUAGCCCCCCAACCCCAAGACAGGCCCUGGUGUGUGAUGUCCCCCUCCAUGUGUCCAUGUGUUCUCAUUGUUCAACUCCCAUUUACGAAUGAGAACAUGUGAUGUUUAAUUUUCUGUUCUUGUGAUUUGCUGACAAAGAUGGUUUCCAGCUUCAUCCAUGUCUCUGCAAAGGACAUGAACUCAUCCUUUUUAAUGGCUGCAUAGUAUUCCAUGGUGUAUAUAUGCCACAUUUUCUUUAUCCAGUCUAUCAUUGAUAGGCAUAAUUCCUAUUCUUU